AGCUGCACAAAUCCAUGUUCAUUAUCAGCGUUUAUUUGCGCAUCUUCUCUGUUAACAACGGCUCUGUGUAGUAACAGCUGCUCUAUGUGAAAUCUCCGCACCUGAUGGAAUUAACCGCUGAUUAGAGAACCGGCUUUACUGACGAGAUGCGCAUUAAUGAUCGGCCGAUCUUGAUCGGCACAGCCCUACACACAAGGCCUGUUCUCAACUUCAAGUAAUUUAAAGUUUCAUUUUUUUGAACAGUUGUUUGAAAUGGAUUUAAUCAUUAUUUAAAAUAUUGGAGAUUUUUGAAUUGCCUAAAUCAUAAAUGCAGCCGGGUUGAAGCCUGCAGUGAUGUUUUUCGUUUAUGUUAUGGCAGCAGUCCCCUCUGCAUAUAUAAUUUUUCGAGAAUGUUGCACUUCUGUUGCUGUUUGUUAUUCUGCACGAAACUUCAUGCUAAUAAAUAAGAAAUAUUGCUGAGUUGUGCGUUUCCAGUACUCUUUAUGUUCGUCCAUUAUUUGGCGUUGAAAAAGGAGACGUCUUUUUUUGUUUUGUUUUUUUAGACAUGGAAAAUCGAUUUUACAAUCGAUUCAAUGAACACUUAUGUCUUAAAAAUCGAAAAUGAUUUUUUCACAAAAGUGACAGCCCUACUUUCAAGAACUGAAAUAUCACAAUAUGAAUAUCGCAAUAUAAUCUCAGAAUAUCUCAAUAUAUUGACACAAGUAUCGUGAUAAUAUCGUAUCGUGAGGCCUCUGGUGAUUCUCACCCCUACUUAUAACUGGUGUAUGGUUAAUUAUCACUAUAAAUCAUGGUGUCCAAGCCUGCUAUGUAUCAAUAUAGAUUCAUGUAAUUUUAAGAUGGGAACAAAACAUGACAAAAUAUAUUAAAUAACUUACAGAGCUCUUUUGCAGGUUUUGAUGACUGCUGAUAAUCUAAUGAGACACUCGUCUGAUUUCUUGAAUUUCUGAAGCUCAAACUCCUCCAGCUCCUCCUCUGAUGUCAACAACACAAAGGCCAAAGCAGACCACUGGGCAGGUGAAAGAUCAGCAGAUGAGAGACUUCCUUUGCUAAGGUGGGUCUGAAUGUCUUCCACCAGAGUUUGGUCGUUCAGUUCAUUCAGACAGUAGAACAGAUUGAUGGAUCUCUCUGGAGACAGAUUAGACUCUAAUUUCUGCUUGAUGUACUGAACUAUUUCUUUUUUGCUCUG
This is a long non-coding RNA of Carassius gibelio (silver crucian carp), 1186 nucleotides long. RefSeq lists it as uncharacterized. The record is from RefSeq and is a predicted model, not a curated record. Lineage: Eukaryota; Metazoa; Chordata; Actinopteri; Cypriniformes; Cyprinidae. The transcript is spliced from 3 exons.